Molecule: ribosomal RNA, 274 nt
Filed under: uncultured bacterium
Lineage: Bacteria
Description: partial 16S ribosomal RNA
Rfam family: Bacterial small subunit ribosomal RNA
Source: RNAcentral
AUACGAAGGGCCCAAGCGUUGCGCGGAAUUACUGGGCUUAAAGGGUGCGUAGGCGGACCCGCAAGUGCUUUGUGAAAUCCCACGGCUCAACCGUGGAACUGCUUGGCAUACUGCGGGUCUUGAGGUCGGUAGAGGUCGCCGGAACUCUAGGUGUAGCAGUGAAAUGCGUAGAUAUCUAGAGGAACGCCCAUGGCGAAGGCAGGCGGCUGGGCCGAUUCUGACGCUGAGGCACGAAAGCGUGGGUAGCGAACGGGAUUAGAAACCCCGGUAGUCC